Molecule: long non-coding RNA, 900 nt
Organism: Ipomoea nil (Japanese morning glory)
Lineage: Eukaryota; Viridiplantae; Streptophyta; Magnoliopsida; Solanales; Convolvulaceae
Exons: 6
Source: RefSeq, a predicted model, not a curated record
UAGCAAUGGAUUCUCCGUCGCGCCGGCGGCGGCGAAGGACGUAAAAGCGAUAGUCUCAUUAUACUCCAACUAUAUCUGGACCCGACUUCGUAGCUUCUUGCCGGCUACUUCAUCUACCUACAGCUCUAGCCUGCUCGCUGGAAUCUCAAAUCUCUAUGGCGGCGCGCCGGAGGAGGCGGCGCCACUAAGCGCCGACGCAGAAAGACCUGCCUCCCCCUCCCUCUGCCUACCUCAGCCUCGGUCUCCUCUUCCUCCAUGACUGCAUCUGAAAAUUCCAGAAUUUUUAUCGUUUUGGAGAACAUUAUUGAACACACUUUCUUAAACUUGCAUUACAUCCAGAAGAACCUAGAAUUUUGGCAAUCUAAAGCCGAGGAAUCAAAUGCUCGAAAAGCAUACUUCAUGAUAUGUGGGAGAGGUCCAUGUGCAUUUUUUAAUGGCACAGUUCAACUGAUUCGUGAUUAUGUUAGUGAUGGUUCUGGGAAACAGCACACGUAUGGUCUGGCAUCCUCUAUAUAUCUGAGAGAAUAAAUGUGUUGAGCAGUUUAAGAUACUGUUUGGCUACAUUUCUGGCUCAGAUCUACAUGGUGGUGGACACAGCUGGAUAUGAUUUAGUCAAUGACCCUGAGAAGUCAGUGUCAUUAUUAUUGGUGAAGAUCAAUGAUCUGUUUCUGCAAUUGGAGGCUUCUAUUGGAAAUUUCCAUGCUACAUGUCAGAAAGACUCUUCUGUAGAGGGAAGCUAUUCAGGUCCUCUAAUGUUUGAGAAACUUCCAGAAGUAAAUGAGGAUGGUUCUCGGUGGACAGAUAGUGAGGUUCAAGAUGCUAUCAACUUUAUUAACCAAAAUCUACAAAAAUUGGAGUCAUACUUAUCUACAAUACAGCAAAUUGUAAGAAAAGAAAACU